This 467-nucleotide ribosomal RNA is filed under the name uncultured bacterium. RNAcentral describes it as "partial 16S ribosomal RNA". It matches the Rfam family "Bacterial small subunit ribosomal RNA", at positions 29 to 507 of the family's 1533-position model. The record is from RNAcentral.
ACGAACGCUGGCGGCGUGCUUCACACCUGCCAGUCGCACGGAAAGGCCCUGCUUUUGUGGGGUGCUCGAGUGGCGAACGGGUGAGUAACACGUGAGUAACCUGCCCUUGACUUUGGGAUAACUUCAGGAAACUGGGGCUAAUACCGGAUAGGAGCUCCUGCUGCAUGGUGGGGGUUGGAAAGUUUCGGCGGUUGGGGAUGGACUCGCGGCUUAUCAGCUUGUUGGUGGGGUAGUGGCUUACCAAGGCUUUGACGGGUAGCCGGCCUGAGAGGGUGACCGGCCACAUUGGGACUGAGAUACGGCCCAGACUCCUACGGGAGGCAGCAGUGGGGAAUAUUGCACAAUGGGCGGAAGCCUGAUGCAGCAACGCCGCGUGCGGGAUGACGGCCUUCGGGUUGUAAACCGCUUUCGCCUGUGACGAAGCGUGAGUGACGGUAAUGGGUAAAGAAGCACCGGCUAACUACGCG